UAGGAUUACAGGCGUGAGCCACUGCGUCCAGCCAUAGGGGUAAAUCUUGACUGGGCGAAGUCUUAGACUCUAAGCCAGUCAUGGUUAUAUCAGUCCCCUUGCCAGGGAUUGUUUAAGAGUGAGGAUGUGAUCCAUUUCUAGUCCAUGAAAUAUGAGAAGUAUAUGAGAGGGAGGGGUCGCUUCUGGGUAGGUUUUUUUUGUGGUUUUGUUUUUUUUUUUUUUUUUGAGACGGAGUCUCUCACUCUAUCACCCAGGCUGGAGUGCAGUGGCGCUAUCUGGGCUCACCACAACCUCCGCCUCCCAGGUUCAAACCAUUCUCCUGCCUCAGACUCUCGAGUAGCUGGGAUUGCAGGCAUGUGCUACCACGCCCCUUAAUUUUUAGUAGAGACAGGAUUUCACCAUGUUGCCUAGGCUGGUCUUGAACUCCUGACCUCGUGAUCCACCCGCCUUGGCCUCGGAUUACAGGCAUGAGCCACCGCGCCCAGCCUGGGCAGGGUUUUUUUUUUUUUUUUUUUUCUGCUUGUGGAUGUUGUUAUGUCAAGAUGUAAAACCUAGAAAUACUGAAGUAAUCUUGGAUCAUGAAGAGAACCAGCCUUGGAAUGAGGUUGUUACUGAAGGUGGCAGAGUGGAGAGUUGGAAGAAAUCUAGGUUCUUGAUGACACCAUUACCCACUGGUUGUACUAUGCCCAGAAACACCUAGUUUCUUGAUUUUGUUGUUGUUGUGGUGGUGGUGGUAAAAUAAUAAGUUUCCUUACUGCUCAAGUUUAUUUGAAUUGAUGUUAUCUGUUACUUGCAGCUAAAGGCAUCCUGAUUGAUACAGCACAUCUUGGAAAUAACAGAGUUCAGCAAUCUUCCUAUAGAGAAUUUUGCUGUAGCAUAACUCCUGUGGAGUAGGAGGAAAAAAUUAGGAUCCACGGGUUAUCUAAAACAAAAAGGGAUCUUCUAGAAUUUGAGGAAGUGAGAAAUUGGCAAAAAUAUGUUUUGGUGAAAUCUUCUUUGAUCAGAACAUAAUAAAAGGAAAGGAAUUAAACAUUUUUCUUCUAUAAUUAAAUAAUUGUCAUUUUAUAUUAAAAUUUUUUUCUAGAAAAACCUUGAUUUUUGACAAAAAUGUUGAAAGCAAAUACUAUUUUUUAUUUUUAAAAUUUAAAAAUAACAUUCAUUAUUCUCUAAAAUUUUACUCUUCUCUAAAAUCUUUCAAUACAUUUGUUUUUGAAGCACACUAUUAACUAUUCACAAUCAACAUUUUACUUUAGCUAAAUCUAUUAAGUAAUCAGACAGCAAUUCAGCAUAAUUAGUUCAUUACAUUUGUAUAGAAGUAGAUAAUUUCAUAGAAAUCUAUCAAAACAAAAUGAAAAAUUGAUUAUUUGGUUACAAAUAUUAGAAGAGUGGUUCACCUUUAAUAUCUUCUUUAUUUUAUCAGUAGCAGAAAAAUCUGUCAUGUAAACUUUUCUUAACUUCUUUUCUUCUGAAAUUCCUUAAUUUCUAUAACUUGGCCUUUUGACAGUUGUUAGAAUCAGUUACUGACAAUUCCUUUUUAUCAUUCACAAAAUAUAGCUGGAGACCUUUGCUCAGAAAGGAAAGCGCUGAUAUUAAUUAACAAGUUUAUCGUUUCAAGAUUGGGUUCUGUACUCAUGUGAGUUUUCAGCUAUGAAUUAUGGCUGCAGUAAUUACCAUGCCUUUGUUGAUAAUUUUAGUUGAGUUGCUUAUAUUUUAGAUCCUACCUCUUUUUUUCAUAACUAAUGAUUUUAAAGUUUUGGCAUUUGGGAAUUACAAUGUUUCUGGACUUUGUUUAAUAUUUUUUUCUUUUUUUUUUUAGAUAGGGUCUCACUCUGUUGCCCAGGCUGGAGUGCAGUGGUUCGAUAUGGCUCACUGCAGCCUCAGCCUCCCUGGGAUCAAGUGAUCCUCUCACCUCAGCCUCCCAAGUAGCAGGGACCACAGGUGUGUGCCACCAUACCCGGCUAAUUUUUGUAUUUUUUGUAGAGAUAGGGUUUUGCCAUGUUGCCCAGGCUGGUCUUCAACACCUAGGCUCAAGCAGUCUUCCCACCUCAGCCUCCCAAUGUGCUAGGAUUACAGGGGUGAGUCACCACGCCCAGGCUGGACUUUAUUUAAAUGCUGAAAUUUAAAACUCUUGGUUAAUGAUAGGAGGCAUUUCAGGUGGUUCUCUGUGGCACUUCUCAACCUUUGUCCACAAGGACGCACUUGGCCUUCCUAUCAGUUGUAUGUAAAUCCCUCUCAUUUAUUGUGGCUCCACUCCUCUCUCUCCACCUAGGAAGAGCUUUGCAGACAUUACCUUUAAUCUAAAAACAAACCAAUAGGAAAUAGUGGCACUUUUAGUAGAGUAACCUUUGUUGGAGCAGUAACUUAACCUCUCUAUACUUCAGUUCUCCUUACAUACAAAAUGAAAGCUACAAGAAGUUCUUAUGAAAAUAUCAGUUAAGUGGUUUUUUUAAAUUUUUAAUUUUUAUUUAUUAUUUUCUUUUUGAGACGCAGUCUCUGUCACCCAGGCUGGAGUGUGGUGGCAUGAUCUUGGCUCACUGCAACCUCUGCCUCCCGAGUUCAAGCAAUUCUCCUGCCUUGGCCUCCCGAGUAGCUGGGAUUACAGGUGCGCACCACCUCACCCAGCU
RNAcentral lists this long non-coding RNA (2624 nucleotides) under Homo sapiens (human). RNAcentral describes it as "HSALNT0209362". Lineage: Eukaryota; Metazoa; Chordata; Mammalia; Primates; Hominidae. The record is from RNAcentral.